This is a non-coding RNA of Linepithema humile (Argentine ant), 219 nucleotides long. Lineage: Eukaryota; Metazoa; Arthropoda; Insecta; Hymenoptera; Formicidae. The record is from RefSeq and is a predicted model, not a curated record.
AAACAAUACAGAACGUGUUUCUGAUAUAGAAAUUUUUAAAUAUGUUUGUACAGAUUUUUUCUAAACCCAAAUUUACAAACUCAUAAGCAUCCCGUAGCUUUAUUUUACAUUUGGGACAUAUAGACUUGGGUUUUAUUUAAAAUCACAUGUUAAUAAUUACUUACGUUGAUGGAACAUAAAUCUGCGAUCUGUAACCUUAAUUGCCGACACUCUUCAUUG